Molecule: ribosomal RNA, 433 nt
Filed under: uncultured bacterium
Lineage: Bacteria
Description: partial 16S ribosomal RNA
Rfam family: Bacterial small subunit ribosomal RNA
Source: RNAcentral
AACGAACGCUGGCGGCAUGCCUAACACAUGCAAGUCGAACGGAACCGUCGGGUCUAGUGGCGCACGGGGGCGUAAGGCGGGGGAAGCUGCCCGUAGGUACGGAAUAACUCCCCGAAAGGGAUGUUAAUAACGGAUAAUGUCAUCGGACCAAGGAGUUAUCGCUGUUGGCUGGGCCCGCGUUGGCUUAGGUGGUUGGUAGGGUAAAAGCCUGCCAAGGGGACGAUCCAUGGCUGGUAGGGGAGGAGGGUCAGCCACACUGGGACUGCGACACGGCCCAGUAGGCUACGGGAGGCAGCAGUAGGGAAUAUUGGACGCUGGGCGCAAGCCUGAUCCCGCCGUGCCGGGUGAGUGAUGCAGGCCUUAGGGUUGUAAAGCUCUUUUACCCGGGAUGAUAAUGACAGUACCGGGAGAAUAAGCUCCGGCUAACUCCGUG